Molecule: ribosomal RNA, 1474 nt
Filed under: metagenome
Description: bacterial SSU rRNA
Rfam family: Bacterial small subunit ribosomal RNA
Source: RNAcentral
AGAGUUUGAUCAUGGCUCAGGACGAACGCUGGCGGCGUGCCUAACACAUGCAAGUCGAACGGACGAGGCCCCUUCGGGGACCGAGUUAGUGGCGGACGGGUGAGUAACGCGUGAGCAACCUGCCUUUCAGAGGGGGACAACAGUUGGAAACGACUGCUAAUACCGCAUGAUGCAGCGAGAUCGCAUGGUCUUGCUGUCAAAGAUUUAUCGCUGAAAGAUGGGCUCGCGUCUGAUUAGCUAGUUGGAGGGGUAACGGCCCACCAAGGCGACGAUCAGUAGCCGGACUGAGAGGUUGAACGGCCACAUUGGGACUGAGAUACGGCCCAGACUCCUACGGGAGGCAGCAGUGGGGAAUAUUGGGCAAUGGGGGAAACCCUGACCCAGCAACGCCGCGUGAAGGAAGAAGGCUUUCGGGUUGUAAACUUCUUUUACCAGGGACGAAGAACGUGACGGUACCUGGAGAAAAAGCCACGGCUAACUACGUGCCAGCAGCCGCGGUAAUACGUAGGUGGCAAGCGUUGUCCGGAUUUACUGGGUGUAAAGGGCGUGUAGGCGGAGCUGCAAGUCAGAUGUGAAAUCUGGGGGCUUAACCCUCAAACUGCAUUUGAAACUGUAGCCCUUGAGUAUCGGAGAGGCAGGCGGAAUUCCUAGUGUAGCGGUGAAAUGCGUAGAUAUUAGGAAGAACACCAGUGGCGAAGGCGGCCUGCUGGACGACAACUGACGCUGAGGCGCGAAAGCGUGGGGAGCAAACAGGAUUAGAUACCCUGGUAGUCCACGCUGUAAACGAUGAAUACUAGGUGUGGGGGGACUGACCCCCUCCGUGCCGGAGUUAACACAAUAAGUAUUCCACCUGGGGAGUACGACCGCAAGGUUGAAACUCAAAGGAAUUGACGGGGGCCCGCACAAGCAGUGGAUUAUGUGGUUUAAUUCGACGCAACGCGAAGAACCUUACCGGGAUUUGACAUCCUACUAACGAAGCAGAGAUGCAUUAGGUGCCCUUCGGGGAAAGUAGAGACAGGUGGUGCAUGGUUGUCGUCAGCUCGUGUCGUGAGAUGUUGGGUUAAGUCCCGCAACGAGCGCAACCCCUAUUGUUAGUUGCUACGCAAGAGCACUCUAGCGAGACUGCCGUUGACAAAACGGAGGAAGGCGGGGACGACGUCAAAUCAUCAUGCCCCUUAUGUCCCGGGCUACACACGUAAUACAAUGGCGGUCAACAAAGGGAAGCAAAGCCGCGAGGCAGAGCAAACCCCCAAAAGCCGUCUCAGUUCGGAUUGCAGGCUGCAACUCGCCUGCAUGAAGCUGGAAUGGCUAGUAAUCGUGGAUCAGAAUGCCACGGUGAAUACGUUCCCGGGCCUUGUACACACCGCCCGUCACACCAUGAGAGUCGGGAACACCCGAAGUCCGUAGUCUAACCCGCAAGGGAGGGCGCGGCCGAAGGUGGGUCUGAUAAUUGGGGUGAAGUCGUAACAAGGUA